UACGUAGGGGGCAAGCGUUGUCCGGAAUCAUUGGGCGUAAAGAGCGUGUAGGCGGUUCGGUAAGUCGGCUGUGAAAGUCCAGGGCUCAACCCUGGGAUGCCGGUCGAUACUGCCGGACUAGAGUUCGGAAGAGGCGAGUGGAAUUCCCGGUGUAGCGGUGAAAUGCGCAGAUAUUGGGAGGAACACCUAUGGCGAAGGCAGCUCGCUGGGACGUUACUGACGCUAAGGCGCGAAAGCGUGGGGAGCGAACAGG
RNAcentral lists this ribosomal RNA (253 nucleotides) under uncultured bacterium. RNAcentral's name for it is "partial 16S ribosomal RNA". It matches the Rfam family "Bacterial small subunit ribosomal RNA", at positions 524 to 776 of the family's 1533-position model. The record is from RNAcentral.